RNAcentral lists this transfer RNA (86 nucleotides) under Candidatus Woesearchaeota archaeon. RNAcentral's name for it is "tRNA-Leu". It matches the Rfam family "tRNA". From Rfam's summary of the family: Transfer RNA (tRNA) molecules are approximately 80 nucleotides in length. Their secondary structure includes four short double-helical elements and three loops (D, anti-codon, and T loops). The record is from RNAcentral. Lineage: Archaea; Nanobdellati; Candidatus Woesearchaeota.
GCCUGGGUCGCAUAACUUGGUAAUUGCGAGGGACUAAGGAUCCCUGACCUACCAAGGUCCUGCGGGUUCGAAUCCCGUCCCAGGCG